UACGGAGGGUGCAAGCGUUAUCCGGAUUCACUGGGUUUAAAGGGUGCGUAGGCGGGCAGGUAAGUCAGUGGUGAAAUCUCCGAGCUUAACUCGGAAACUGCCGUUGAUACUAUUUGUCUUGAAUAUCGUGGAGGUAAGCGGAAUAUGUCAUGUAGCGGUGAAAUGCUUAGAUAUGACAUAGAACACCAAUUGCGAAGGCAGCUUACUACACAAUGAUUGACGCUGAGGCACGAAAGCGUGGGGAUCAAACAGG
This 253-nucleotide ribosomal RNA is filed under the name uncultured bacterium. RNAcentral's name for it is "partial 16S ribosomal RNA". It matches the Rfam family "Bacterial small subunit ribosomal RNA", at positions 524 to 776 of the family's 1533-position model. The record is from RNAcentral.